RNAcentral lists this ribosomal RNA (270 nucleotides) under Cyphomyrmex rimosus. RNAcentral's name for it is "partial large subunit ribosomal RNA". The record is from RNAcentral. Lineage: Eukaryota; Metazoa; Arthropoda; Insecta; Hymenoptera; Formicidae.
GAAUUUUAUAUAAGUUUAUUUAAAGAUUUAAUAUGAAUAUAUAUAUAUAUAUAGAUAUAAAUUUAUAAAAAAGUUAAAUUUAGUUAUAAAUAAAAGUUAUAUUUAAUUGGGAGGAUUUUUAAAAUAAAUAAACUUUAAAAUUAAAGUUAUUACAUAAAUAAGUGGAUUAAUUUAAUAAAAAAGAAUGAUUAAUAGAUUAAUAAAGAAAUAAUUACCUUAGGGAUAACAGCGUAAUAUUUUUGGAUAGAUCAUAUAAAUAAAAAUGAUUGC